UACGGAGGGAGCUAGCGUUGUUCGGAAUUACUGGGCGUAAAGCGCACGUAGGCGGCUUUGUAAGUUAGAGGUGAAAGCCCGGAGCUCAACUCCGGAAUUGCCUUUAAGACUGCAUCGCUAGAACGUCGGAGAGGUAAGUGGAAUUCCGAGUGUAGAGGUGAAAUUCGUAGAUAUUCGGAAGAACACCAGAGGCGAAGGCGACUUACUGGACGACUGUUGACGCUGAGGUGCGAAAGCGUGGGGAGCAAACAGG
This 253-nucleotide ribosomal RNA is filed under the name uncultured bacterium. RNAcentral describes it as "partial 16S ribosomal RNA". It matches the Rfam family "Bacterial small subunit ribosomal RNA", at positions 524 to 776 of the family's 1533-position model. The record is from RNAcentral.